Molecule: ribosomal RNA, 501 nt
Filed under: uncultured bacterium
Lineage: Bacteria
Description: bacterial SSU rRNA
Rfam family: Bacterial small subunit ribosomal RNA
Source: RNAcentral
GAUGAACGCUGGCGGCGUGCCUAAUACAUGCAAGUCGAGCGAAUGGAUUAAGAGCUUGCUCUUAUGAAGUUAGCGGCGGACGGGUGAGUAACACGUGGGUAACCUGCCCAUAAGACUGGGAUAACUCCGGGAAACCGGGGCUAAUACUGGAUAACAUUUUGAACUGCAUGGUUCGAAAUUGAAAGGCGGCUUCGGCUGUCACUUAUGGAUGGACCCGCGUCGCAUUAGCUAGUUGGUGAGGUAACGGCUCACCAAGGCAACGAUGCGUAGCCGACCUGAGAGGGUGAUCGGCCACACUGGGACUGAGACACGGCCCAGACUCCUACGGGAGGCAGCAGUAGGGAAUCUUCCGCAAUGGACGAAAGUCUGACGGAGCAACGCCGCGUGAGUGAUGAAGGCUUUCGGGUCGUAAAACUCUGUUGUUAGGGAAGAACAAGUGCUAGUUGAAUAAGCUGGCACCUUGACGGUACCUAACCAGAAAGUCACGGCUAACUACGUGCC